GACGAACGCUGGCGGCGUGCUUAACACAUGCAAGUCGAACGGAAAGGCCUGCUUUCCCUUGUGGAUUGCGGGUACUCGAGUGGCGAACGGGUGAGUAACACGUGAGUGAUCUGCCCCCAACUUGGGUAUAAGCCUGGGAAACUGGGUCUAAUUCCCGAUAGGACUGCAGGGUGGUGCCUGUGGUGGAAAACGAUUUUCUAGUGGUUGGGGAUGAGCUCGCGGCCUAUCAGCUUGUUGGUGGGGUAAUGGCCUACCAAGGCGGCGACGGGUAGCCGGCCUGGGAGGGUGGACGGCCACAUUGGGACUGAGAUACGGCCCAGACGCCUAGGGGAAGCAGCGGUGGGGAAGAUUGCACAAUGGGCGGGAGCCUGAUGCAGCGACGCCGCGUGGGGGGUGACGGCCUUCGGGUUGUAAGCUCCUUUCGACCGCGAGGAAGCCACCUGGUUGGAAGGGUGGUGACGGUAGUGGUAGAAGAAGCACCGGCUAACUACGUG
RNAcentral lists this ribosomal RNA (494 nucleotides) under uncultured bacterium. Its description in RNAcentral is "partial 16S ribosomal RNA". It matches the Rfam family "Bacterial small subunit ribosomal RNA", at positions 28 to 507 of the family's 1533-position model. The record is from RNAcentral.